This 782-nucleotide ribosomal RNA is filed under the name Campylobacter jejuni. Its description in RNAcentral is "partial 23S ribosomal RNA". It matches the Rfam family "Bacterial large subunit ribosomal RNA", at positions 1 to 816 of the family's 2925-position model. The record is from RNAcentral. Lineage: Bacteria; Pseudomonadati; Campylobacterota; Epsilonproteobacteria; Campylobacterales; Campylobacteraceae. RNAcentral also lists the same sequence under 1 other name.
GGGUUGUGAGGUUAAGCGACUAAGCGUACACGGUGGAUGCCCUGGCAGUCAGAGGCGAUGAAGGACGUGCUAAUCUGCGAUAAGCGCCGGUAAGGUGAUAUGAACCGUUAUAACCGGCGAUUUCCGAAUGGGGAAACCCAGUGUGAUUCGUCACACUAUCAUUAACUGAAUCCAUAGGUUAAUGAGGCGAACCGGGGGAACUGAAACAUCUAAGUACCCCGAGGAAAAGAAAUCAACCGAGAUUCCCCCAGUAGCGGCGAGCGAACGGGGAGGAGCCCAGAGCCUGAAUCAGCAUGUGUGUUAGUGGAAGCGUCUGGAAAGGCGCGCGAUACAGGGUGACAGCCCCGUACACAAAAGCGCAUGUGCUGUGAGCUCGAUGAGUAGGGCGGGACACGUGGUAUCCUGUCUGAAUAUGGGGGGACCAUCCUCCAAGGCUAAAUACUCCUGACUGACCGAUAGUGAACCAGUACCGUGAGGGAAAGGCGAAAAGAACCCCGGCGAGGGGAGUGAAAAAGAACCUGAAACCGUGUACGUACAAGCAGUGGGAGCACCCUUCGGGGUGUGACUGCGUACCUUUUGUAUAAUGGGUCAGCGACUUAUAUUCUGUAGCAAGGUUAACCGUAUAGGGGAGCCGGAGGGAAACCGAGUCUUAAUUGGGCGUUAAGUUGCAGGGUAUAGACCCGAAACCCGGUGAUCUAGCCAUGGGCAGGUUGAAGGUUGGGUAACACUAACUGGAGGACCGAACCGACUAAUGUUGAAAAAUUAGCGGAUGACCUGUGGCU